This 483-nucleotide ribosomal RNA is filed under the name uncultured bacterium. Its description in RNAcentral is "bacterial SSU rRNA". It matches the Rfam family "Bacterial small subunit ribosomal RNA", at positions 28 to 509 of the family's 1533-position model. The record is from RNAcentral.
GACGAACGCUGGCGGCGUGCUUAACACAUGCAAGUCUACGAGAACGAGGUAGCAAUAUCUUUAGUAAAGUGGCGUACGGGUGCGUAACACGUAAGCAAUCUACCUUUGGGUCUGGAAUAACUUCGAGAAAUCGAGGCUAAUACCGGAUAAUGCAGCGGCACCGCAUGGUGAUGUUGUUAAAGUUUAUGUAAUGCCUAUAGAUGAGCUUGCGUCUGAUUAGGUAGUUGGCGGGGUAAUGGCCCACCAAGCCAUCGAUCAGUAGCUGGUCUGAGAGGAUGAUCAGCCACACUGGAACUGAGACACGGUCCAGACUCCUACGGGAGGCAGCAGUAAGGAAUAUUGCUCAAUGGCCGAAAGGCUGAAGCAGCAACGCCGCGUGGAGGAUGAAAUACUUUUGUAUGUAAACUCCUGUAAGAAGGGAAAAUAUUCCGAUUUAUCGGGAUUGAUUGUACCUUCAGAGUAAGCACCGGCUAACUACGUGCC